ACACAAAGUCUGAGUGCUUGUCUGAAAGUUUUCCCAUCAGUAAGACUCCUCCAAUCUUUAGACUGAGCAAAAAUGACAUCCUGGAUAAACCUCAUAUUGUUAGCAGUAGUCCUCACAGGUGUCCAGUCAGAGGUCCAGUUGGUGGAGUCUGGAGGGGAUGUGAGAAGACCCGGAGAGUCCCUCCGUCUCUCCUGCCAAGGCUCCGGAUUCAGCUUCAGCGGCUAUAGCAUGGACUGGGUGAGGCAGUAUCCAGGGAAAGGACUGGAAUGGGUGGCAUACAUAAGCUCGGGUUCCAGCACCAUUUACUACUCAGACAAGGUCAAGGGACGCUUCACCAUCUCCAGGGACAAUGCCAAAAGCCAGCUGUAUCUGCAAAUGAACAACCUCAAACUGGAGGACACGGGACGCUAUUACUGUGCACGAGAGGCACAGUGA
This is a non-coding RNA of Python bivittatus (Burmese python), 435 nucleotides long. The record is from the annotation of a RefSeq genome assembly. Lineage: Eukaryota; Metazoa; Chordata; Lepidosauria; Squamata; Pythonidae.